AGAGUUUGAUCAUGGCUCAGGACGAACGUUGGCGGCGCGCUUAAUGCAUGCAAGUCGAACGAAAUCCAUCCAAUUCGUAAGAAGAGGGUGGGGAUAGUGGCGAACGGGUGAGUAACACGUGAGAAACCUGCCCUGGAGACCGGGAUAGCCCGGGGAAACCCGGAUUAAUACCGGAUACCUUCUUUGGACCGCAUGGUCCGUUGAGGAAAGCUCAGGCGCUUCAGGAUGGUCUCGCGGCCUAUCAGCUUGUUGGUGAGGUAACGGCUCACCAAGGCUUCGACGGGUAGCUGGUCUGAGAGGACGAUCAGCCACACUGGGACUGAGACACGGCCCAGACUCCUACGGGAGGCAGCAGCAGGGAAUAUUGCACAAUGGGCGAAAGCCUGAUGCAGCGACGCCGCGUGCGGGAUGAAGGCCUUCGGGUUGUAAACCGCUUUCAGGAGGGACGAAAAUGACGGUACCUCCAGAAGAAGCCCCGGCCAACUACGUGCCAGCAGCCGCGGUAACACGUAGGGGGCGAACGUUGUCCGGAUUUAUUGGGCGUAAAGGGCUCGUAGGCGGCUUGGCAAGUCGGCCGUGAAAACCCGGGGCUCAACCCCGGGACGCCGGUCGAAACUGUCAUGGCUAGGGUCCGGUAGAGGUGAGUGGAAUUCUCGGUGUAGCGGUGAAAUGCGCAGAUAUCGAGAGGAACACCAGUAGCGAAGGC
This 706-nucleotide ribosomal RNA is filed under the name uncultured bacterium. Its description in RNAcentral is "bacterial SSU rRNA". It matches the Rfam family "Bacterial small subunit ribosomal RNA", at positions 8 to 722 of the family's 1533-position model. The record is from RNAcentral.